Molecule: unclassified non-coding RNA, 334 nt
Filed under: soil metagenome
Description: partial contains 5.8S ribosomal RNA, internal transcribed spacer 2, and large subunit ribosomal RNA
Rfam family: 5.8S ribosomal RNA (bases 1-120)
Source: RNAcentral
GAUGAAGAACGUAGCGAAAUGCGAUAAGUAAUGUGAAUUGCAGAAUUCAGUGAAUCAUCGAAUCUUUGAACGCACAUUGCGCCCGCCAGUAUUCUGGCGUGCAUGCCUGUUCGAGCGUCAUUUCAACCAUCAAGCCCCCGGCUUGUGUUGGGGACCUGCGGCUGCCGCAGGCCCUGAAAUGCAGUGGCGGGCUCGCUGUCACUCCGAGCGUAGUAGUUACAUCUCGCUCUGGGCGUGCUGCGGGUUCCGGCCGUUAAAAGCCUUAUUUACCCAAGGUUGACCUCGGAUCAGGUAGGAAGACCCGCUGAACUUAAGCAUAUCAAUAAGCGGAGGA